AUGGGGAUGGAGGUGUUCACUGUUGGUGAGGCAAGUACUUCUUGGAGGGAAACCACUGUUGAUUUGUCCUACCCUGUUGUUGAGUGGAUUACCGGGAAAUUUGUAAACGGUGGAUUGUUUUGGCCCAUUGACAGCUACCAUCUUGAGCAUGAUCCAAAUGGCAUUGUCCGCUUCAGCCUAGAAGAUGAGACGUUCAGCGUCAUUCGUCUACCGGAUAUGUUGUCAUUGAACCGUAUGCUCGAUGAAUCCUUCUUGCUGGACGAGAUGCAGGGCGAGAUUUGCCUGACAGGUUUUACCAAGACUACGACGGAAGUGGCGGUCUGGAUGUUAGUUGAAGACCAUACUGUGGACUCUCGUUGGGAGCAUCGUUACUCUCUCUAUAUAUCUGAUCUGGUUCAACCAAUGUCGCUUCUUCCAGGGGGCGCAAUCAUGUUACAAGUUGGUCCCAUUUUCUACCGCUACGAGCUGCAGGCUCCAAACCAGAACCUGACGAACAUGUGUGAGUUGGAAGGGCUAAGAUACAAAGGCCGGAGGAGACGCACUACUAAGCAGAAUAUCUUCUUCUUCAACGUAAUCCCCUACAUGGAAAGUCUUGUUCGAAUUGUUGCUUAG
This 612-nucleotide ribosomal RNA is filed under the name Triticum aestivum (bread wheat). RNAcentral's name for it is "partial small subunit ribosomal RNA". The record is from RNAcentral. Lineage: Eukaryota; Viridiplantae; Streptophyta; Magnoliopsida; Poales; Poaceae.